Molecule: long non-coding RNA, 1278 nt
Filed under: Pogona vitticeps (central bearded dragon)
Lineage: Eukaryota; Metazoa; Chordata; Lepidosauria; Squamata; Agamidae
Description: lncRNA (ENSPVIG00000002696.1)
Source: RNAcentral
UAAAUAGUCAAGGUCAUACUAAGGGCAAUAUGGUAGAGGAAGCUAGAUUAUCUGAGAAGUUGGUGGACUCUCCUUCACUAGGGGUCCAGCAAAGCUCCGCUGGAAGUUCAUGUGCAACAACCCAGAAUAGUCAACUUCCUAAAUGCACGGUCUAAAGGCAGAGCAUGAUGUGGCACACAAGCCACCUUCCUGAUCACUAGUUCCACAGUUUCUGGUUCUGAUGACCCAUGGAACCAGAAAUUUAAGAACAGAUGGCCCUGAUUAGCCUCUGGUGGUGAAUGCCAUUCCUCCAUCUUUUCUGCCAGUGUUUGGAGUGGGGAGAAUCUGAGUGUCUCCUCCUCUGGCCAGAACAAUGCUGUGCUACCACCAUCUCCUCCUACUCCAGUGGAGAAAAGUAUGCAGAUGUCACUGCCAUGGUACAAUGCGUUCUGGCUAGGAGGUAGCAAGUCCUUUUCAUUUCAGCCCAGGGGAGAACUUGGUCCACCCGUGAAACUCACAUCCAGCACAAUUGAGUUACUAAAGUCAAGGGCUUUUUCACUCUUUCCUGUAUCUUCUUCAAAUAUAUUUUCAGGUCAAUUCAGCCCAGAAGAAUGGUUUCAUCAAAGAAAGACGUACUGUGGACACACUUUGCUAUGCAAGCUCUCCUGGGACUCUUCUGCAUCCCUAUGCUCUUCAUUACAGCUAGCUCUGUGGACUGCGACAUUUGUGUCGCCACUGCAACCACCUGUACUGGCGUUAAAAUGAAUUGCUCUGAAGAGGAGGGCAUUUGUAGCACAAUCUGGAGUGCGGUCACAAUUGGCGGAGUCAGUCACGACACCAUUACCAGGACCUGCACCGUCAAACGUGUCUGCAAAGCUCUCCAAGCAGUAAUAGGCAAAACUUUUGGAGAUACCACUAUCACCAACGUUAAAUGUUCUAAGGACCCUACAUCUCUAGCUUCUUAUAUCAUGACUCUUUCCGGGCUCCUGCUAGCAAACGUCCUUGCCACCCUGCAGCAAAACAGCAUUCCUGAUCUCUUUAAUACAAACUCUUCUGGAGCUAGCCACAUGACCCCGAGAGUUUUGCCAUCAUCUUCCAGUUCUUGAACCAAGAGAAAUGAGCAACAAGAAAUGGUUUUCAGCCUUGGUUAGAUGGAUAAAGCAAGGCAUAUUUUCCAUGUAGUUGGCUAGAUUCCCAGCCAGGACACUGUGAGUAGCUUGAAUUUAAUGUCUGGCAAAGUUUCAUGAACAUCUCAGCUCCUUGAAGGAAAAAUAGGAAUAAAAGCAUCAUGAAUGAUCA